CACAUGCAGUCGAGCGGAGACAGGGAGUAGCUUGCUAUGAACUGUUUUAGCGGCGGACGGGUGAGUAACGCGUGAGCAACCUUUCCCAGACAGGGGAAUAACACACCGAAAGGUGUACUAAUACCGCAUAAGACCACGGAAUCACAUGGUUCUGAGGUAAAAGAUUUAUCGGUUUGGGGUGGGCUCGCGUCCGAUUAGGUAGUUGGUGAGGUAACGGCCCACCAAGCCGACGAUCGGUAGCCGACCUGAGAGGGUGAUCGGCCACAUUGGGACUGAGACACGGCCCAAACUCCUACGGGAGGCAGCAGUGGGGAAUAUUGGGCAAUGGAGGAAACUCUGACCCAGCAACGCCGCGUGGAGGAAGAAGGUUUUCGGAUCGUAAACUCCUGUCCUUGGAGACGAGUAGAAGACGGUAUCCAAGGAGGAAGCCCCGGCUAACUACGUGCCAGCAGCCGCGGUAAUACGUAGGGGGCAAGCGUUGUCCGGAAUAAUUGGGCGUAAAGGGCGCGUAGGCGGCUCGGUAAGUCUGGAGUGAAAGUCCUGCUUUUAAGGUGGGAAUUGCUUUGGAUACUGUCGGGCUUGAGUGCAGGAGAGGUUAGUGGAAUUCCCAGUGUAGCGGUGAAAUGCGUAGAGAUUGGGAGGAACACCAGUGGCGAAGGCGACUAACUGGACUGUAACUGACGCUGAGGCGCGAAAGUGUGGGGAGCAAACAGGAUUAGAUACCCUGGUAGUCCACACUGUAAACGAUGAAUGCUAGGUGUAGGGGGUAUCGAUCCCUUCUGUGCCGCAGUCAACACAAUAAGCAUUCCGCCUGGGGAGUACGGCCGCAAGGUUGAAACUCAGAGGAAUUGACGGGGGCCCGC
This 863-nucleotide ribosomal RNA is filed under the name uncultured bacterium. RNAcentral describes it as "bacterial SSU rRNA". It matches the Rfam family "Bacterial small subunit ribosomal RNA", at positions 52 to 924 of the family's 1533-position model. The record is from RNAcentral.